The sequence is a regulatory RNA element, 96 nucleotides long. It matches the Rfam family "SAM riboswitch aptamer (S box leader)". Rfam says of the family: The SAM riboswitch is found upstream of a number of genes which code for proteins involved in methionine or cysteine biosynthesis in Gram-positive bacteria. The SAM riboswitch acts at the level of transcription termination control. The record is from Rfam.
CCACCAUCCCGAGCGGCCGAGAGAUCUGGCUCACCGACGCCGCAGCAACCUUCCACACUCCGGUGGACAAGGUGCUACCGCCAGAAACGAUGGAGA